This 72-nucleotide transfer RNA is filed under the name Nanobdellota archaeon. Its description in RNAcentral is "tRNA-Thr". It matches the Rfam family "tRNA". From Rfam's summary of the family: Transfer RNA (tRNA) molecules are approximately 80 nucleotides in length. Their secondary structure includes four short double-helical elements and three loops (D, anti-codon, and T loops). Further hydrogen bonds mediate the characteristic L-shaped molecular structure. tRNAs have two regions of fundamental functional importance: the anti-codon, which is responsible for specific mRNA codon recognition, and the 3' end, to which the tRNAs corresponding amino acid is attached (by aminoacyl-tRNA synthetases). tRNAs cope with the degeneracy of the genetic code in two manners: having more than one tRNA (with a specific anti-codon) for a particular amino acid; and 'wobble' base-pairing, i.e. permitting non-standard base-pairing at the 3rd anti-codon position. Lineage: Archaea; Nanobdellati; Nanobdellota. The record is from RNAcentral.
GCCUCAGUAGCUCAGCGGUAGAGCGUUUGAUUCGUAAUCAAUAGGUCGGGGGUUCAAUUCCCCCCUGAGGCU